This 468-nucleotide ribosomal RNA is filed under the name uncultured bacterium. Its description in RNAcentral is "partial 16S ribosomal RNA". It matches the Rfam family "Bacterial small subunit ribosomal RNA", at positions 28 to 507 of the family's 1533-position model. The record is from RNAcentral.
GACGAACGCUGGCGGCGUGCUUAACACAUGCAAGUCGAACGGAAAGGCCCUGCUUUUGUGGGGUGCUCGAGUGGCGAACGGGUGAGUAACACGUGAGUAACCUGCCCUUGACUUUGGGAUAACUUCAGGAAACUGGGGCUCAUACCGGAUAGGAGCUCCUGCUGCAUGGUGGGGGUUGGAAAGUUUCGGCGGUUGGGGAUGGACUCGCGGCUUAUCAGCUUGUUGGUGGGGUAGUGGCUUACCAAGGCUUUGACGGGUAGCCGGCCUGAGAGGGUGACCGGCCACAUUGGGACUGAGAUACGGCCCAGACUCCUACGGGAGGCAGCAGUGGGGAAUAUUGCACAAUGGGCGGAAGCCUUAUGCAGCAACGCCGCGUGCGGGAUGACGGCCUUCGGGUUGUAAACCGCUUUCGCCUGUGACGAAGCGUGAGUGACGGUAAUGGGUAAAGAAGCACCGGCUAACUACGUG